RNAcentral lists this ribosomal RNA (464 nucleotides) under Vreelandella stevensii. RNAcentral describes it as "partial 16S ribosomal RNA". It matches the Rfam family "Bacterial small subunit ribosomal RNA", at positions 338 to 795 of the family's 1533-position model. Lineage: Bacteria; Pseudomonadati; Pseudomonadota; Gammaproteobacteria; Oceanospirillales; Halomonadaceae. The record is from RNAcentral.
CCUACGGGAGGCAGCAGUGGGGAAUAUUGGACAAUGGGCGAAAGCCUGAUCCAGCCAUGCCGCGUGUGUGAAGAAGGCCUUCGGAUUGUAAAGCACUUUCAGUGGGGAAGAAAGCCUUGGGGCUAAUACCCUCGAGGAAGGACAUCACCCACAGAAGAAGCACCGGCUAACUCCGUGCCAGCAGCCGCGGUAAUACGGAGGGUGCGAGCGUUAAUCGGAAUUACUGGGCGUAAAGCGCGCGUAGGCGGUCUGAUAAGCCGGUUGUGAAAGCCCCGGGCUCAACCUGGGAACGGCAUCCGGAACUGUCAGGCUAGAGUGCAGGAGAGGAAGGUAGAAUUCCCGGUGUAGCGGUGAAAUGCGUAGAGAUCGGGAGGAAUACCAGUGGCGAAGGCGGCCUUCUGGACUGACACUGACGCUGAGGUGCGAAAGCGUGGGUAGCAAACAGGAUUAGAUACCUGGUAGUC